This 494-nucleotide ribosomal RNA is filed under the name uncultured bacterium. RNAcentral's name for it is "partial 16S ribosomal RNA". It matches the Rfam family "Bacterial small subunit ribosomal RNA", at positions 28 to 507 of the family's 1533-position model. The record is from RNAcentral.
GACGAACGCUGGCGGCGUGCUUAACACAUGCCAGUCGAACGGUGAAGCGCCUUCCUUUUUGGUGGGUGUGGAUGAGUGGCGAACGGGUGAGUAACACGUGAGUAACCUGCCCCCUUCUUCUGGAUAACCGCAUGAAAGUGUGGCUAAUACGGGAUAUUCUGGGUCUGUCGCAUGAUGGGUCUGGGAAAGAUAUUGUUUCGGUGGGGGAUGGGCUCGCGGCCUAUCAGCUUGUUGGUGGGGUGAUGGCCUACCAAGGCGGUGACGGGUAGCCGGCCUGAGAGGGUGGACGGUCACACGGGGACUGAGACACGGCCCAGACUCCUACGGGAGGCAGCAGUGGGGAAUAGUGCACAAUGGGCGCAAGCCUGAUGCAGCGACGCCGCGUGAGGGAUGGAGGCCUUCGGGUUGUGAACCUCUUUCGCCAGUGAAGCAGGCCUGCCUCGUUUGUGGGUGGGUUGACGGUAGCUGGAUAAGAAGCGCCGGCUAACUACGUG